This 73-nucleotide transfer RNA is filed under the name Stegodyphus mimosarum. It matches the Rfam family "tRNA". From Rfam's summary of the family: Transfer RNA (tRNA) molecules are approximately 80 nucleotides in length. The record is from Rfam by way of RNAcentral. Lineage: Eukaryota; Metazoa; Arthropoda; Arachnida; Araneae; Eresidae.
GCCUUCAUGGUGUAGUGGUCAGCACGCUCGACGCGUAACCGAGAGGUCCGUGGUUCGAUUCCCGGCGAAGGCU